CCCAUCUGUUUUCUGUCCUACCUUCAGCUGACUGACUCGUCUCAACGGCAAGGAACCCCUUCCUUUCCCUUUUGGUUUCGUCCUAUUCCUCCCUCACUUCUCCACUUGUGACUCGUGAGCGUGUGCCGCUUUUCGCAUCACUCUCAAAGGAAAGCCAGCACUACCCAUUCGUCUUCUCCUUUUUUGCUCCUGUUGUUGCUAAUCCUCAAACACUAACGACAGGCGCUUCUGGUCGGCCAUGGUGCUCCCUUCUGCUUUGGCACUUUCUGUCGCCAAGGUGGUAUGGACCAUUUUGAGAGGAUGGAUAUCUGCCUGUGUCACUAUCGCCUCAGAGAUUGCUCGUGCUUUGAGACUAGGAGAUAUGGGCCCUUUACAUGUUGGAUGAACGAGGAUGCUUUGGACUCGAUUCCUGUCCGUCACUGCAUGAAGUGGUAGUUCCUUUGGUAGAUCGACUGUUUACAGCUUGAUCAGUUUGGGUGCAUAGGAAGCAUUAUUUUCUAAUGAGUAAAUUUCGAGUUUGAAGCAUUAUGCAUAAGAUCAUUGACCCAAAAGGCUUGGCAUAAUGAAGUGGGCCUUGGCUGUCAUGUAGGCAAUCAUGGUUCAGAUUUCGUGGGCAUCAGUCAUUGCAUACGGGUGCAACAUUGCAUGUAUAUAACCUGGAGUUGGAUUUUUUUUUUUCUGGCUCAUGAGUAUUGGAACAUGUUUUUGCUAAGUAAUGUUUUGUCCACUCUUGGGGUGGGAUGGGAGACCUGGCCGUGCUGGUUUAACCUGCCACAAGAUCACGGCCCUGACUCUGUAAAAAUCUCAUAAAUGAUAUCUAGUUCUCUCUCUCUCUCUCUCUCUCUCAUGCCAUAAAUUCA
Long non-coding RNA from Nymphaea colorata (pocket water lily), 860 nucleotides. RefSeq lists it as uncharacterized. The record is from RefSeq and is a predicted model, not a curated record. The transcript has 2 exons. Lineage: Eukaryota; Viridiplantae; Streptophyta; Magnoliopsida; Nymphaeales; Nymphaeaceae.